This 296-nucleotide ribosomal RNA is filed under the name uncultured bacterium. RNAcentral's name for it is "partial 16S ribosomal RNA". It matches the Rfam family "Bacterial small subunit ribosomal RNA", at positions 333 to 627 of the family's 1533-position model. The record is from RNAcentral.
GGUUACCUACGGGGGGCAGCAGUGAGGAAUAUUGGUCAAUGGUCGGGAGACUGAACCAGCCAAGCCGCGUGAGGGAUGAAGGUACAGAGUAUCGUAAACCUCUUUUGUCAGGGAACAAAGGCGGGGACGUGUCCCCGGAUGAGUGUACCUGAAGAAAAAGCAUCGGCUAACUCCGUGCCAGCAGCCGCGGUAAUACGGAGGAUGCGAGCGUUAUCUGGAUUUAUUGGGUUUACAGGGUGGGGAGGCGGUCUGUUAAGUCAGCGGUGCAAGCAGGGGGCUCACUCCCGGCCCGCCGU